This 498-nucleotide ribosomal RNA is filed under the name uncultured bacterium. RNAcentral's name for it is "partial 16S ribosomal RNA". It matches the Rfam family "Bacterial small subunit ribosomal RNA", at positions 30 to 523 of the family's 1533-position model. The record is from RNAcentral.
AUUGAACGCUGGCGGCAUGCCUUACACAUGCAAGUCGAACGGUAACAGGUCUUCGGAUGCUGACGAGUGGCGAACGGGUGAGUAAUACAUCGGAACGUGCCCAGUCGUGGGGGAUAACGAAGCGAAAGCUUUGCUAAUACCGCAUACGAUCCACGGAUGAAAGCGGGGGAUCGCAAGACCUCGCGCGAUUGGAGCGGCCGAUGUUAGAUUAGGUAGUUGGUGGGGUAAAGGCUUACCAAGCCUACGAUCUGUAGCUGGUCUGAGAGGACGACCAGCCACACUGGGACUGAGACACGGCCCAGACUCCUACGGGAGGCAGCAGUGGGGAAUUUUGGACAAUGGGCGCAAGCCUGAUCCAGCAAUGCCGCGUGCAGGAUGAAGGCCUUCGGGUUGUAAACUGCUUUUGUACGGAACGAAAAGCUCUGGGUUAAUACCCUGGAGUCAUGACGGUACCGUAAGAAUAAGCACCGGCUAACUACGUGCCAGCAGCCGCAGUAA